CCUACGGGCGGCAGCAGUGGGGAAUAUUGGACAAUGGGGGCAACCCUGAUCCAGCCAUGCCGCGUGUGUGAAGAAGGCCCUCGGGUUGUAAAGCACUUUCAGUGAGGAAGAACGCCUGGUGGUUAAUACCCAUCAGGAAAGACAUCACUCACAGAAGAAGCACCGGCUAACUCCGUGCCAGCAGCCGCGGUAAUACGGAGGGUGCGAGCGUUAAUCGGAAUUACUGGGCGUAAAGCGCGCGUAGGUGGCUUGAUAAGCCGGUUGUGAAAGCCCCGGGCUCAACCUGGGAACGGCAUCCGGAACUGUCAAGCUAGAGUGCAGGAGAGGAAGGUAGAAUUCCCGGUGUAGCGGUGAAAUGCGUAGAGAUCGGGAGAAAUACCAGUGGCGAAGGCGGCCUUCUGGACUGACACUGACACUGAGGUGCGAAAGCGUGGGUAGCAAACAGGAUUAGAUACCCCAGUAGUC
This 465-nucleotide ribosomal RNA is filed under the name Vreelandella stevensii. RNAcentral describes it as "partial 16S ribosomal RNA". It matches the Rfam family "Bacterial small subunit ribosomal RNA", at positions 338 to 795 of the family's 1533-position model. The record is from RNAcentral. Lineage: Bacteria; Pseudomonadati; Pseudomonadota; Gammaproteobacteria; Oceanospirillales; Halomonadaceae.